UUAGUGCUGUGUCUGUUCAGGAGCCACCAUAGACUGCACACUACUGAUUCUCUGCUUUUUCAGACUGAGUUAGUUUGGAUCUUGUUUCCAGUAUGGACAGGUAUCCAAGUAAAUCUCAAACCUGGACUGAUUUCAGGAAAAUAAUCCUCUGACUGCUUCCAGGAGUUUGAUUCUCACACCUGAGCCAGGCUGGAAUGAUGCAAAUAAGGUGGAGGAAGAACUUUUAAAGACCCAGGUAUCAAGAUGCUGGAUGUAAGGAGGAUGUCUUCCAACAGGACAUCAGAACAAGAUUUGAACAGUUUGUGAAUCGGCAGUCUGAGGAACCAACCAACUUCAAGGAGGUUUCAAUUAUACUGGUGCCGAAGAAGAGCAUGAUGCUUUAUGUAAAGCAGAACAUUUUAAAUGAGCUCCACUGGAUUACACAUAAAGGAUUGACAGACACUUCCGAUGCUAGUAGCUGCUAUUUCACCUGAUCAAGGCUAUACACAGAUCACUACAUUUGGUUGACUUGUGUGCUCUUUGAUUUCAAUGGAGACUGCAAGAUUCAAGAUUUAAGGUUUUUUAAUGUCAUUUCCAAUACUUGUCAAUGGCCUAGAAGACAUGAAAUACGUGUUUGGGAAAAAAGACGCCUACUUGUUUGAUGGCUUCCACAAACCCCAGAGUAUCAAUGGAUCGUUUCCAUUUUUACACGCUAUACUCUACAAAGGAACAAAGACCCAAAGCGGAGCAAGGCUCGGGAAAUGUAAGCUCUUGACCCCUUUUCGGAAGUCAACUCAACAAUUCUACCCAUGGCUGCCUGAAAUCAUGGAGGGGGUAAGGGAAGAGCAUCUCCUGUUCUGUCAGUUUUCACCAUCCUACUGCAAUCUGUCCCCCUUUCUAUGGUUUCUAUAAUGCAGCUACAUUGUUGAUUUGCGUUGAAGUUAAAUUUGGUAAAUUGGUUUUUAUUGUCACAGGUACCAAGGUACAGGGAAAAACUUUGUUUGACAUGUCUUCCAUACAGAUUGUUUCAUUGCAUCAAUACAUUGAGAUAAGCCAAGAGAAAACAAUGACAGUGCAGAAUAAAGUGAUACAGUUCUAGAGAAUGUGCAGUGCAAGCAGACAAUAAGGUACAAGGCAAUAGCAAUGUAGAUUGUGAGGUCAAGAGUCGAUCUUGUCAACUAGGGGACUGUUCAGUAUUCUUAUAACAGCAGGAUAGAAGCUUUCCUUAAGCCUGAUCAUACGAGCUUUCAGGUUUUGGUAUCAUCUGCCUGAUGAGAGAGGGAA
Molecule: long non-coding RNA, 1263 nt
Organism: Mobula hypostoma (lesser devil ray)
Lineage: Eukaryota; Metazoa; Chordata; Chondrichthyes; Myliobatiformes; Myliobatidae
Exons: 7
Source: RefSeq, a predicted model, not a curated record